UUCUGGAAUGAUGACGGCCAGGGCCGUGCCGCACAGGAGUCCUGCUCCCAACACGGUGACCAGCUUUAGCUUCUCCUGAUUGGACACAUUACAAGAAAAAUAAGAAAUAAAGGCGUAGUCACCUGUUGCCACUUAUACAAGAUUAAAAGCGUUAAAGGAGCGUUUACCUCUGAGAAGUUGACUGCCAAGGGAAUAGUCCCUGCCACAUAGCAGCCUACCAACAUGGCCAGAGACAGAAAACUGAUGGUGCUGAAGUCCUCCAUGGCUGCACGUGGAAAAGAAUCCCCAAAAGAUGGAGAAGAACUU
Syngnathus typhle (broad-nosed pipefish) is the source of this 306-nucleotide long non-coding RNA. RefSeq lists it as uncharacterized. The record is from RefSeq and is a predicted model, not a curated record. The transcript has 2 exons. NCBI's taxonomy places the organism in Eukaryota, Metazoa, Chordata, Actinopteri, Syngnathiformes, Syngnathidae.